GAGGUUAUAGCUCAGUGGUAGAGAGCAUGCCUAGCAUGCGUGAGGUCCUGGGUUCAUUCCCCAGUACCUCCA
Molecule: transfer RNA, 72 nt
Filed under: Camelus bactrianus (Bactrian camel)
Lineage: Eukaryota; Metazoa; Chordata; Mammalia; Artiodactyla; Camelidae
Also listed under: 2 other names
Rfam family: tRNA
About the family: Transfer RNA (tRNA) molecules are approximately 80 nucleotides in length.
Source: Rfam by way of RNAcentral